GGAUUUGUCCCGGACUAGCGAGAUGGCAAGGCUGAGGACGGGAGGCUGAUUGAGAGGCGAAGCAGUGGACAAGAAGGCUGCUGGAGCUGGCAAGGUCACCAAGUCUGCCCAGAAAGCUCAGAAGGCUAAAUGAAUAUUAUCCCUAAUACCUGCCACCCCACUCUUAAUCAGUGGUGGAAGAACGGUCUCAGAACUGUUUGUUUCAAUUGGCCAUUUAAGUUUAGUAGUAAAAGACUGGUUAAUGAUAACAAUGCAUCGUAAAACCUUCAGAAGGAAAGGAGAAUGUUUUGUGGACCACUUUGGUUUUCUUUUUUGCGUGUGGCAGUUUUAAGUUAUUAGUUUUUAAAAUCAGUACUUUUUAAUGGAAACAACUUGACCAAAAAUUUGUCACAGAAUUUUGAGACCCAUUAAAAAAGUUAAAUGAGAAACCUGUGUGUUCCUUUGGUCAACACCGAGACAUUUAGGUGAAAGACAUCUAAUUCUGGUUUUACGAAUCUGGAAACUUCUUGAAAAUGUAAUUCUUGAGUUAACACUUCUGGGUGGAGAAUAGGGUUGUUUUCCCCCCACAUAAUUGGAAGGGGAAGGAAUAUCAUUUAAAGCUAUGGGAGGGUUGCUUUGAUUACAACACUGGAGAGAAAUGCAGCAUGUUGCUGAUUGCCUGUCACUAAAACAGGCCAAAAACUGAGUCCUUGUGUUGCAUAGAAAGCUUCAUGUUGCUAAACCAAUGUUAAGUGAAUCUUUGGAAACAAAAUGUUUCCAAAUUACUGGGAUGUGCAUGUUGAAACGUGGGUUAAAAUGACUGGGCAGUGAAAGUUGACUAUUUGCCAUGACAUAAGAAAUAAGUGUAGUGGCUAGUGUACACCCUAUGAGUGGAAGGGUCCAUUUUGAAGUCAGUGGAGUAAGCUUUAUGCCAGUUUGAUGGUUUCACAAGUUCUAUUGAGUGCUAUUCAGAAUAGGAACAAGGUUCUAAUAGAAAAAGAUGGCAAUUUGAAGUAGCUAUAAAAUUAGACUAAUCUACAUUGCUUUUCUCCUGCAGAGUCUAAUACCUUUUAUGCUUUGAUAAUUAGCAGUUUGUCUACUUGGUCACUAGGAAUGAAACUACAUGGUAAUAGGCUUAACAGGUGUAAUAGCCCACUUACUCCUGAAUCUUUAAGCAUUUGUGCAUUUGAAAAAUGCUUUUCGCGAUCUUCCUGCUGGGAUUACAGGCAUGAGCCACUGUGCCUGACCUCCCAUAUGUAAAAGUGUCUAAAGGUUUUUUUUUGGUUAUAAAAGGAAAAUUUUUGCUUAAGUUUGAAGGAUAGGUAAAAUUAAAGGACAUGCUUUCUGUUUGUGUGAUGGUUUUUAAAAAUUUUUUUUAAGAUGGAGUUCUUGUUGCCCAGGCUAGAAUGCAAUGGCAAAAUCUCACUGCAAUCUCCUCCUCCUGGGUUCAAGCAAUUCUCCUACUUCAGCCUCCCAAGUAGCUGGGAUUACAGGCAUGUGCUAAUUUGGUGUUUUUAAUAGAGAUGAGGUUUUUCCAUGUUGGUCAGGCUGGUCUCAAACUCCUGACCUUAGGUGAUCGCCUCGGCCUCCUAAAGUGCUGGAAUUACAGGCAUGAGCCACCAUGCCUGGCCAGGACAUGUGUUCUUAAGGACAUGCUAAGCAGGAGUUAAAGCAGCCCAAGAGAUAAGGCCUCUUAAAGUGACUGGCAAUGUGUAUUGCUCAAGAUUCAAAGGUACUUGAAUUGGCCAUAGACAAGUCUGUAAUGAAGUGUUAUCGUUUUCCCUCAUCUGAGUCUGAAUUAGAUAAAAUGCCUUCCCAUCAGCCAGUGCUCUGAGGUAUCAAGUCUAAAUUGAACUAGAGAUUUUUGUCCUUAGUUUCUUUGCUAUCUAAUGUUUACACAAGUAAAUAGUCUAAGAUUUGCUGGAUGACAGAAAAAACAGGUAAGGCCUUUAAUAGAUGGCCAAUAGAUGCCCUGAUAAUGAAAGUUGACACCUGUAAGAUUUACCAGUAGAGAAUUCUUGACAUGCAAGGAAGCAAGAUUUAACUGAAAAAUUGUUCCCACUGGAAGCAGGAAUGAGUCAGUUUACUUGCAUAUACUGAGAUUGAGAUUAACUUCCUGUGAAACCCAGUGUCUUAGACAACUGUGGCUUGAGCACCACCUGCUGGUAUUCAUUACAAACUUGCUCACUACAAUAAAUGAAUUUUAAGCUUU
RNAcentral lists this long non-coding RNA (2191 nucleotides) under Homo sapiens (human). RNAcentral describes it as "non-protein coding lnc-CGAS-3:3". The record is from RNAcentral. Lineage: Eukaryota; Metazoa; Chordata; Mammalia; Primates; Hominidae.